ACUAUCUUAAGAAAAAUUUUUUGAAAAAAUACUGUUGCUGUACUACCUGCCUUCAAGCUUACUUCGUGUCUCCAAACACACUACAAAAAAAACCCAAACCAAAUUUUCAAAGUCAAUCAUUCUUACUUGCAAGUUUUGGUGCUACCCCUUAGGCUAACAAAGCAACAAGCAGGAUCGCUUUAACAGAAGACAAAAAAAACAAUAACAACAUAACAGUGGAUAUUUAUGUAUGUACAUAUGUAUAUGUAUGUAUGUAUAUCGCGAACCAACCGCUUGUGACAAAUAUUCCAAUACAACUAGACAUUUUUUCUCUAUACACUAACACCAACGCACACUUUCGGGUUAUUUUUUGUUUACCUAAAUGCGAUGAAAAAAGUUUUUUUCAUUUCUUGAUUUAUUUGAAUGAAUGCGAAAGAGGAAACAUAAUUGUCAAUAGUGACAAUUAGGGAUGCUCGAUGAACAUCGAUGUUCGAUGAUCAUCGAUGUUGAAAGCAAAAACAUCGAUGUUUUAAUAUCGAUGUUGCCAUACGAAAAAUAUCGCAACAUCGAUGUUAACGGAAUCAAUCAUCGAUGUCAACUUACGGCCUCACGCACGACACGGACGUCCACCAAACCAAUGCAACUUAGGAAACAAAUUAUGUCUUCUAUGAACGCAGCCACAAAUUAAAUUUUUUAGUUGUGAACUUCACAAACUGAUUUGUGGCUGCGUUCACAAUGUGAACGCGUCAUUCCGGUCGUUCCCUUCAUUCGUUCGUUCUUCGUGAUUCAUCUUGCACAUUUACGCUCACUCCCACUUCUAUUUGUUUGUUAAUAAAAAAUUGUGUUGUGCGUACCUAUUUAAAUUUACUGAUUUGUUCGUAUUCUACUGGUGUUGUGCAUAUAUAUAUGUAUAUUACAUGGAGUACAACAAUAUGUUAUAAAUGCAUAUAAAUUAUAAAUGAAUAGAAUUAAACAUGCCGCCAAAAAGUCGCUUCUGGGAAUUUUUUGAAAAACUUGAAAAUAUCGAAGCCAAAUUAAUCUAAAAUUUUUAAAUUGAAUUUCAGCUUUUUAUAUUUUUAUAAGAUAUUUGACAAUCAUAUACUUACUUCCCCAUUAAACUGUGAAAUUUAAUAUUUUAUUUUUAAAGUUGUAAUAACAUUUAUUUAUAAUUUGUACUUCAUGUUUUCAAAGAUAUGAAUAAAUAAAUUCAUUGAAAAUGAAAUAUGCGUUACGAUUAUUUAAAAAUACAAGUAUAACAUCGAGAAAAACGUUUAAAAUAAGUCGUAAAUGUGCUGUGCACACUGGCUGUGGCUUAAUAAAUUUCGAAUUUAUAGAUUGUGUUUUAUUUCUUUGUCAAUUAUUAAUGUAAAAAUUAUCGAUGGAUCCAACAUCGAUGGAUCCAACAUCGAUGUUCGGUUUUUGAUAAAUAUCGAACAUCGAUGUUGAGCUUUCGAUUAUGACAUCGAUGUCAACAUCGGUGUUUUUUGAAUAUCGAUCAUCCCUAGUGACAAUAGAAAAUCCCAAAAAGGGUAAUAAAAAAAACGAUUGAAAGACGCAUGUCGUUCGUGAUCGUACCAUCGUAAAGGAGGCUCGUACAACAAGAAGCAUUGGAAAUCAGAACUGAAUUGGAAGGAGCAGCAGCAGCUAUAUCAUCAGAAGCGACAAAUAUCAAUUGUUAAGUGAAAAAAGUGUGUGUACUUUGAAAUUGGACUGCGUAGUCCAAUAUAAUACGCAAAAAUAAAUACAUACAUAAAACAUAUCGUCACCUGAAAUGCAAAAUAACGUAUCAUCAAAAAAUUUGAAAUUGAGUGUCUUAUUGAUUACGCUUCACUACUUCAAAUUACAUACAUAAUAUUACAUAUGUCCAACAUUUUCAGAUUCUGCGGCCAGAUAUAAACCAGUUUUAACCAAUAUUAAAAUUUUGUUUCACUCAUGUUCCAUUUUAUUUCGUGUUUCAUUCAUGCCACUUUAAAUUUCCGAAAAUGUUGUUACGUUAUUUUGCAUUUCAGGUAACGAUAUGUAUUUUAUGCGUUUAAGGCGGCCUGCACAAUCCAAUAUAAUAUGUGAAAACAAAUGUUUGUUUUAUAUUUUAAAUGAUCAAAUAAUAUUUAUCUUUUCUUUCAGAUAUUAUUAUUUUUUUUUUUUAUUUAAUUAUUCUUUCUUUUCAUAUUUUAUCACUAUUUUUAUUUAAUUAAUCUUUGCUUGCAGAGUAAAUUCUAUUUGUAUUUAAUAUACAUAUUUUAUUUUUUCAGAUAAUAUUAAUCUUUUCUCUCAGAUAUUACAAAUUCAAUGUAAUUAUUAUUUAUUUUCAGGUUUUAUUACCUUUACUUUAUUUUCAUGUAUUUGUCUUU
Molecule: long non-coding RNA, 2330 nt
Organism: Bactrocera dorsalis (oriental fruit fly)
Lineage: Eukaryota; Metazoa; Arthropoda; Insecta; Diptera; Tephritidae
Exons: 3
Source: RefSeq, a predicted model, not a curated record